UGCCAGCAGCCGCGGUAACACGGGGGGCGCAAGCGUUAUUCGGAAUUAUUGGGCGUAAAGGGCGCGCAGGCGGUCUUGUCAGUCAGGUGUGAAAGCCCGGGGCUCAACCCUGGAAGUGCAUUUGAAACAGCAAGGCUUGAGUACUGGAGAGGAGAGCGGAAUUCCUGGUGUAGAGGUGAAAUUCGUGGAUAUCAGGAGGAACACCGAUGGCGAAGGCAGCUCUCUGGACAGAUACUGACGCUGAGGCGCGAAGGCGUGGGGAGCAAACAGGAUUAGAUA
This 279-nucleotide ribosomal RNA is filed under the name uncultured bacterium. RNAcentral's name for it is "partial 16S ribosomal RNA". It matches the Rfam family "Bacterial small subunit ribosomal RNA", at positions 506 to 784 of the family's 1533-position model. The record is from RNAcentral.